Molecule: ribosomal RNA, 496 nt
Filed under: uncultured bacterium
Lineage: Bacteria
Description: partial 16S ribosomal RNA
Rfam family: Bacterial small subunit ribosomal RNA
Source: RNAcentral
AUUGAACGCUGGCGGAAUGCUUUACACAUGCAAGUCGAACGGUAGAGGGGGCAACCCCUCGAGAGUGGCGAACGGGUGAGUAAUAUAUCGGAACGUGCCCAGUCGUGGGGGAUAACGUAGCGAAAGUUACGCUAAUACCGCAUACGAUCUAAGGAUGAAAGCGGGGGAUCGCAAGACCUCGCGCGAUUGGAGCGGCCGAUAUCAGAUUAGGUAGUUGGUGGGGUAAAGGCGCACCAAGCCAACGAUCUGUAGCUGGUCUGAGAGGACGACCAGCCACACUGGAACUGAGACACGGUCCAGACGCCUACGGGAGGCAGCAGUGGGGAAUUUUGGACAAUGGACGCAAGUCUGAUCCAGCCAUUCCGCGUGCAGGAUGAAGGCCCUCGGGUUGUAAACUGCUUUUGUACGGAACGAAAAGGUCUCUCUUAAUACGGGGGGCUCAUGACGGUACCGUAAGAAUAAGCACCGGCUAACUACGUGCCAGCCGCCGCCGUAA